GAUGAACGCUGGCGGCGUGCCUAACACAUGCAAGUCGAACGGAACUUCUUUGACAGAAUUCUUCGGAAGGAAGUUGAUUAAGUUUAGUGGCGGACGGGUGAGUAACGCGUGAGUAACCUGCCUUUGAGAGGGGAAUAACUUCCCGAAAGGGAUGCUAAUACCGCAUGACGCAUAUUUAUCGCAUGGUAGAUAUGCCAAAGAUUUAUCGCUCAAAGAUGGACUCGCGUCCGAUUAGCCAGUUGGCGGGGUAACAGCCCACCAAAGCGACGAUCGGUAGCCGGACUGAGAGGUUGAACGGCCACAUUGGGACUGAGACACGGCCCAGACUCCUACGGGAGGCAGCAGUGGGGGAUAUUGCGCAAUGGGGGAAACCCUGACGCAGCAACGCCGCGUGAAGGAUGAAGGUUUUCGGAUUGUAAACUUCUUUUAUUUAGGACGAACAAUGACGGUACUAAAUGAAUAAGCUCCGGCUAACUACGUGCCAGCAGCCGCGGUAAUACGUAGGGAGCAAGCGUUAUCCGGAUUUACUGGGUGUAAAGGGUGCGUAGGCGGCUUGGUAAGUCAGAUGUGAAAUGUAUGGGCUCAACCCAUGCACUGCAUUUGAAACUAUUGAGCUUGAGUGAAGUAGAGGUAGGCGGAAUUCCCUGUGUAGCGGUGAAAUGCGUAGAGAUAGGGAGGAACACCAGUGGCGAAGGCGGCCUACUGGGCUUUAACUGACGCUGAGGCACGAAAGCGUGGGUAGCAAACAGGAUUAGAUACCCUGGUAGUCCACGCUGUAAACGAUGAUUACUAGGUGUGGGGGGUCUGACCUCUUCCGUGCCGGAGUUAACACAAUAAGUAAUCCACCUGGGGAGUACGACCGCAAGGUUGAAACUCAAAGGAAUUGACGGGGGCCCGCACAAGCAGUGGAGCAUGUGGUUUAAUUCGAAGCAACGCGAAGAACCUUACCUGCUCUUGACAUCUCCCUGACCGGCAAGUAAUGUUGCCUUUCCUUCGGGACAGGGAAGACAGGUGGUGCAUGGUUGUCGUCAGCUCGUGUCGUGAGAUGUUGGGUUAAGUCCCGCAACGAGCGCAACCCCUAUCUUCAGUAGCCAGCGGUUUGGCCGGGCACUCUGGAGAGACUGCCAGGGAUAACCUGGAGGAAGGUGGGGAUGACGUCAAAUCAUCAUGCCCCUUAUGAGCAGGGCUACACACGUGCUACAAUGGCGUAAACAAAGGGAAGCGAACCCGCGAGGGUGGGCAAAUCCCAAAAAUAACGUCUCAGUUCGGAUUGUAGUCUGCAACUCGACUACAUGAAGCUGGAAUCGCUAGUAAUCGCGAAUCAGAAUGUCGCGGUGAAUACGUUCCCGGGUCU
This 1354-nucleotide ribosomal RNA is filed under the name uncultured bacterium. Its description in RNAcentral is "partial 16S small subunit ribosomal RNA". It matches the Rfam family "Bacterial small subunit ribosomal RNA", at positions 28 to 1381 of the family's 1533-position model. The record is from RNAcentral.